This 1426-nucleotide long non-coding RNA is filed under the name Mytilus galloprovincialis (Mediterranean mussel). The record is from RNAcentral. Lineage: Eukaryota; Metazoa; Mollusca; Bivalvia; Mytilida; Mytilidae.
GGCAAAUUUCAAAGGGAUCACAUUGAAACAAUACCCUAAGCAACCUUGAUCAACAUAUAUUCAAAAUUUGAACUGGACAUGAACAUGCAUACAACAAACAAAGAUGUCUUCUAUCAGGAACAAAGUAAUAUGAAUUUUACAAUGGAUUCAGACAUGUUAGAUCCAAAAGUUCCAAUUGAUUCUAUUGACACUGGGUAGUGCAGAUGAUAGCCUUCAGUUGACAUGACUCUUGGAUUCAGGAAGAUUGGUGUUUACACACAAUUUGAACAACAUCUUUUGGUAAGUACAAUGGAGUUGAAUGUCCACCAUUUUGAAUAAGUGCAUGCUCUUUAACAGUUCAAAUAGUGAUGAAUAAAGAGUCUUCUUAAUUUAAUAGAGUUGGCAAAAGUAUUAGACAAUAGAUUUAUGCACAUGAAUAUUAUCAAAAUUGUGUACGACAAGAGAUAUUUUUUUUAAAUCUUUUUAUUACUGUAUGUUUUAGAAAUAACAUUACUUAAAUUGAACCAAGAAAUCUUCUAAUAAAAGCAGUUUGGUAUUAAAUCAGAGAUCUGUUACGAUUUAACUGCCAAUAUUAAGAGGUUUGUCAACAAAUGGCAACAAUGUAUAGCUUUCAUAUAUAUAAUUUAACAGUGAGCACCAAAUUUGUUAUGUUAUUUUGAAUAGACAGAAAAAAUAUUACAGUCAUUUCUUAUAAUUUAAUACUAAAUUCCAUUUUAAACCGUAAAAAGCUAUGAAAAAACGUUGAUGACAUCACGGUCACAAGACUAAAUUAUGUAUAUGGGCUGAUAACAAAAUAACGUCAGCCAAUCAGAAGACACGUUACAUCCAAAAUUUAAAUUAUAAAGUAGUAACUUAUAUCUGUAUAUCUUUAUAAUUCUAGUUAUUUUUUUUAUGUCUACUAAUUAAAAUUCUUCAACUUUUAUUUUGCAGUAUUUUUGAAAUCAGAAAAUUCAACUUUAAGGACAGUGAGUACAGAGAAACAGAACUAAAAGUACACAGAUGUAACACAACAACCUAUAGAGGACAGAGACCAUUUUCAACCUAUAGAGGACAGAGACAUUUUUUUUAAUUAUUAAAUCAUAAAUUUUUAAAUGUUUAGUUUUUAAUUCCAAAUUUUACACCUGAAUUGUUGAAAGAUUUGCUGCAAUGUUGCCGCAAUAUUGCAAGAAAUUAAUUUUCCUGCAAUAUUGCUGCAACAUUGCAGCUAAUGAACUUGCCGCAAUAUUGCUGCAACAAUUACAGCUACUGAUUUUCCCGCAAACAUUUGCAGCAAUAUUGCCGCAAUUUGUUGCGGCAAUGUUGCAGCAACUGUUUGCAAGAAAACUAAUUUGCAUACGAAAAAUGAAUAUUUGCAGCAAUAUUGCCGCAACUAUUUGCAGCAACAUUGCCGCAAAUAUUUGCAAGAAGCCUUAUUUUUCUGUAAGGG